UACAGUGAUGACACGAUGUCGCCCCAAACGGAGGCUCCUAUUCAGGACGAUGACCGAUUCGAUUCAAGCCAAACACUGAAAAUUCUGAUC
This 90-nucleotide small nucleolar RNA is filed under the name Scheffersomyces stipitis CBS 6054. The record is from RNAcentral. Lineage: Eukaryota; Fungi; Ascomycota; Pichiomycetes; Serinales; Debaryomycetaceae.